This 497-nucleotide ribosomal RNA is filed under the name uncultured bacterium. RNAcentral's name for it is "partial 16S ribosomal RNA". It matches the Rfam family "Bacterial small subunit ribosomal RNA", at positions 28 to 507 of the family's 1533-position model. The record is from RNAcentral.
GAUGAACGCUGGCGGCGUGCCUAAUACAUGCAAGUCGAGCGAACGGACGAGAAGCUUGCUUCUCUGAUGUUAGCGGCGGACGGGUGAGUAACACGUGGAUAACCUACCUAUAAGACUGGGAUAACUUCGGGAAACCGGUGCUAAUACCGGAUAAUAUUUUGAACCGCAUGGUUCAAAAGUGAAAGACGGUCUUGCUGUCACUUAUAGAUGGAUCCGCGCUGCAUUAGCUAGUUGGUAAGGUAACGGCUUACCAAGGCAACGAUGCAUAGCCGACCUGAGAGGGUGAUCGGCCACACUGGAACUGAGACACGGUCCAGACUCCUACGGGAGGCAGCAGUAGGGAAUCUUCCGCAAUGGGCGAAAGCCUGACGGAGCAACGCCGCGUGAGUGAUGAAGGUCUUCGGAUCGUAAAACUCUGUUAUUAGGGAAGAAAAUAUGUGUAAGUAACUGUGCACAUCUUGACGGUACCUAAUCAGAAAGCCACGGCUAACUACGUG